Molecule: long non-coding RNA, 1324 nt
Organism: Lates calcarifer (barramundi perch)
Lineage: Eukaryota; Metazoa; Chordata; Actinopteri; Centropomidae
Exons: 4
Source: RefSeq, a predicted model, not a curated record
UGAAAAUGGAGAGAUGUUAGCCGCUCUUUGUAGGUUCAGUUAGCUCUGUUAAAAUACUUUUUUUUUUUCAUCCAAAUUAAGACCCGGUGAUUCUGAAACAGUGUGUACCACGCUAAAAGGGGAGAGUGAGCUGUGUGAGCUGUGUGGAGCGAGUUUAAGUCAGUGGUGUUGCUAAAUUAUCACAAACACCAUAGCCACGUGUGGACUCUUUUUAGCUAACCAGCUGUCACCCUCACUGGACGGGGGAUAACAAACUGAGUGCAUACCUGUGGGAAGCACAUAUUUUUUUCACCAAGCUUCUGAGGUGCUUCGGACGCUGCCAUGCACGCUGUAGUAAAGGUGCUCAGGACUAGCCGCUGCCAGAGAAACCUGGUUUUUGCACAUGGACCAAACCCCAGGACGGGUUCGCUUCAUCACUCAGCUAACCGCUGGACAGAGGGUUUCAACUAAGUAACAGCUUUCUGCAGUUUCCAGGGAACAGCUCUGCGGCAAAUUGAGUCUGAAUGAGCUCCAAAUCAUGUUCAAGUGCAGCCAGAGACACUUCCAACUCUUUCGGACAGUGAUUCUGCUUGGACAGAGCCAAGGAGCUGGAGAGGGACAGUCAGGGCGACACAGAGACUGACACAUAUCAUCAUGUAAUGUCAGACUGCAGGGCCAAAGAGCUGCCUCAAGGGUGUCUGAGAGCUUGUGACUCCACUGGUGGCAACUUGAACUGGAGGCUGUGAGAACGGCUGGAUGCCAUCAGACAGAAAUGAGCAAGGAGAAAAAUGUACAGACAAGUCAAGACUGAAGCCAAAUUAUCCCUAUUUUCUAAAAGUUACAAUUCAACUUCAGCAGUGAGAGGCAGCAGGGAAAAAGAGCAUUCACCCUCUUGAACAUAUGAAACCUUCACUAAGACUACUUGCAGCAUCUUUGCAGCUAGUGCCAACUGGUCCAAACAUAAAAGAACAUUUAAGAUGGGUUUAUACAUGAUGCAAGGGUGUAACAGGAGUCCUGCUGUAGACUCCAACAGCACGGGAUUUGAUUUAUAAUUCAGUGUCAUAUUUCUUACAUUAAUACCGCUGCACCACUUGAUGACUGUGUCGUACACAUUCAGACUAUGUCAUGCUUUAAUUAUGUUUCCUUACUGUGUCACAUUGUUUCAUUAUUUUGUCAUAUAUUACUUUGUGGGCCAUACAUAUACUAAUAGGACUGGAGUAACUUCUGUUUGGCCAUGUCUAAAUACUGAAAGGAGAAUAUUGUUUCAUGGACUAUUAUAAAGUACAGUGAUUGUGGUGAGCGGGUUGGCAAUAGUAAUGUUUAAUUUGUUUGAUACGUGUUAUUG